CCUACGGGAGGCAGCAGUGGGGAAUAUUGCACAAUGGGGGAAACCCUGAUGCAGCGACGCCGCGUGAGUGAAGAAGGAUUUCGGAAUGUAAAGCUCUAUCAGCAGGGAAGAAAAUGACGGUACCUGAUUAGGAAGCACCGGAUAACUACGUGACAGCAGCCGCGGGAAAACGUAGGGGGAAAGCGUUAUCCGGAUUUACGGGGGGGAAAGGGAGCGGGGACGGCAGCACAAGUAUGGAGUGAAAUGCCGGGGCUUAACCUCGGGACUGCUUUGGACACUGUGCAGCUAGAGUGCAUGAGAGGUAAGUGGAAUUCCUAGUGUAGCGGUGAAAUGCGUAGAUAUUAGGAGGAACACCAGUGGCGAAGGCGGCUUACUGGCCUGUAACUGACGUUGAGGCUCGAAAGCGUGGGGAGCAAACAGGAUUAGAUACCCGAGUAGUC
Molecule: ribosomal RNA, 440 nt
Filed under: uncultured bacterium
Lineage: Bacteria
Description: partial 16S ribosomal RNA
Rfam family: Bacterial small subunit ribosomal RNA
Source: RNAcentral